GAAAACGUGAGACUGCAAGCUUCCCCCCCCCACCCCCUACGCGAUCUCAGAAUUUUUCUUCCCCUGCUUUUUCUUUGCGGAUUAUUGAGAUUUUUCUUUCUCGAUUGAUAGAUACUCUUCUCAAUAAAGGGAUUUAUUUAGUAUUAGACACCGUUUCACUCUUUUUGCCGCUUGGACAUUUUACAAGCAUCUAGAUCUGCAGUUCCCCACUGCUUCAUCCAUAUUACUUCUCAGUUGAUGGAUGAAACAGUUUACUCCCUACUUCUCAGAAGCUAAAGAGGAAAUAAUGGAGGGAGAUAUUAGUAGUGGGGCUGCAGAUAAUCACACGGAAGAUGCUAGCAAAACAGAGGCACAGUUCAAUAGCUUCAAUAUUGAGAGUGAUCAUGUAAAGGAUAACGGAAUAUGUGAGAGUCACGAACAUACAGGUGAUAGCCAUGAUGAUCUUGUACAAAUGCUCGUAGAACUUAAUUUCCAGAAUGAAUAUCUGAAAUCUCAGAUUGUGGGAUGGCAAAGCAUCAACAUAUAUUCUGAUGACUCUGGUCAACAAAUUAAAACGGCUGCACAUGAAAAUGUGGCAAGUGAUAAUUCAGAAGACCUUAAUGAGAAGAUCGAAUCUUUGAAUAGAGAACUUUUAGAGGAAAAGCAAACACGAGGUGCUGCAGAGGUAGCACUAAAGCAUCUUCAAACUCUAUAUUUGGAAGCUGACACAAAGGCCCAAGAGUUGUCUGUCAAAGUUGCUGAAGUACAAAAUAAGAUGGAUCAGGAAAUAAAAGAACGUGAUGAGAAGUAUUCAGAGCUAGACUCGAAGUUCAACAGACUUCACAAACGGGCAAAGCAGCGUAUUCAAGAGGUGCAAAAGGAAAAAGAUGAUCUUGAGGCCCAGUUUCGUGAUGUCAAUGAGAAAUCUGAGCGCGCAUCCUCGCAAUUAUCUGCAUUGCAGCAAGAGUUGGAGCGCAGUAGACAACACGCUCAGGAGGCACUGAAAGCAAUGGAUUUGGAUAGGCAACAGUUAAGAAGUACAAACAACAAGCUCAGAGACAACAUUGAAGAGCUGCGCCGUUCCUUGGCACCAAAAGAGAAUGCUCUGGAGGCAUCACAACAGGCACUUCUAGAGAAAGAGCAGAAGUUAGAAGAGAUGCAAGCAUUACUGCAGGCAGCAGAUGAGAAGAGACAAGCUUCAAUUGAAGACCUCUCUUCAAAGCAUCAGAAGCAAAAAGAGAGUCUGGAAGCCCAAAUUGCUGAGGCAUUGGCUGAAAGAAGCAAAGCAGCUGAAACAAUCUCAUCUCUGCGGACUGUGGUUGCAGAGAAGGAGUUUAAGAUUGCAGAGAUGGAUGCAGCUUCCACUGGUGAAGCAGCAAGACUUAGAGCUGCUUUUGAAACAGUUAAAGGAGACAUUGUUCAUCUGAAAAGUGAACAAGAGAAAGAAAAAGAGAGUUGGGAAACCACCUGCCAUUCACUCAGAACAAAGCUGGAGAUUGCUGAGAGUAACUGCAUCCGUGCCGAGAUUGAAGCGGCCAAAUUUAGAAGUCAACUGGAGUCACAGUUAUCUGCUCAGUCCCAGGUAUUAAACUCAAAAGAGGCUGAAUUGAUGGCGGCCAAAGAAGAGAUCAAUCGCACUCAAAGUGAGUUUUCAUCUUACAAGGCUCGUGCUCACGCACUUCUCCAGCGAAAGGAUGCUGAAUUGGCUGCUGCUAGGGACAGCGAACAACUUAAAGCACUGGAGGAAGCAUUGAAGGAAGUGGAGAAAGAGGUAAUGUCAGUCUCUUCUGAAAGGGAUAGAGCCCUUCAAGAUCUAAAGAGCACCUUAAUUAAUCAUGAGAAGGAACUUUCGGACAGAGAUGAAGCUCUUCGUGCUACAGAGCAACGGAUCAGAAGCAUGGAAAUGAAGUUCAAUUCUGCUAUUUCUGCUCACCAAAAAGAGAAGGAAGCAUGGGAAAUAAGCCUUCAAAAUGUAGAAGAAACAUGGCGAUUGAAAUGUGAUGCAUUUAAAGCAGAGAGUGUGGUUACCUCUGGUGAUAAUGUUCAAAAAGAACUAGAUGACCUCAAACAAAGCUGUAAAAAACUGAAGGAAGAGCUUGAUUCUUUUCGUGACCUUGCUGAUAAGAUGAUUGAGGAGAAGGACAAUGAAAUCUCUAGACUUCUAGACGAUAACGAGAACCUUCGCCACAAACUUCAGUCUGAAUUUUUAGCCGAUCGCAAUGGCAAUUCCAAUACAGUAUAUGACAAGCAAGAUCCUCUGAAUUCGACUACCUCAGCUGCUGAUCAGCAGAUUCUGGUCUUGGCGAGACAACAAGCACAAAGAGAAGAAGAGCUUGCUCAGUCACAACGUCACAUUCUAGCCCUUCAAGAGGAGAUAGAAGAGCUUGAACGUGAAAAUCGUCUCCACAGCCAGCAGGAAGCUAAGUUGAAAGAGGAGCUUAGGAAUAUGGAUAGAUCACAGAAGAGGGAAGGGGUAGAUCUGACGUAUCUUAAGAAUGUCAUUUUAAAACUUCUCGAGACAGGUGAAGUGGAGGCUCUAUUACCUGUGGUUGCAAUGCUUCUUCAGUUCAGUCCUGAGGAGAUGCGGAAGUGCCAACAAGCCUAUCGCUCCUCCAUAGAAGCUCAAGCAAGCCCGUCAAAAGAUACAUCAGGAUCGAGGAGCUCACUGUUUUCUAGAUUCUCAUUCUCUUAACAGCCAAUGAGGGCUGCAGAGAUGCUUCCCAAAUGUUGUCUUAUCCAGCUUCAGUAGAUAGUCUGUAGCAGACGUGGAAGGAGAGAUACAGUAGAGGAAUGUUUUGUGUUCUUAUGUAAUUAACAAAGAAAUGCAAAAGAAGAACAAAACACAAAAAUGAGUAGGCAUCCCUUGUCGUUCUUCACACGAUAUGUAUAUCAAAGGUAUUUCGUUCUUCCUUUUUUUGUUUAAUUGAGUGCAGAGAGAGAAGGAAGAGCACAUUUGAUAGAAAUUGUAAAAUUUUUGCGCAAGGAAACCAAUUGAACUGAUGACUUCCCUAGAACUUCACUAUUAAAA
RNAcentral lists this unclassified non-coding RNA (3007 nucleotides) under Hevea brasiliensis (rubber tree). Lineage: Eukaryota; Viridiplantae; Streptophyta; Magnoliopsida; Malpighiales; Euphorbiaceae. The record is from RNAcentral.